UUUCGCAAUGCCCGAAAGGGUGACGAAGCGACGCCGCGUGAGUGAGGAAGGCCUUCGGGUUGUAAAGCUCUGUCAGGAGUUAAGAAAUAUAAGUGUGCUAAUACCACAUUUAUUUGACAAAAGCCCCAAAGGAAGCCACGGCUAACUCUGUGCCAGCAGCCGCGGUAAUACAGAGGUGGCAAGCGUUGUUCGGAAUUAUUGGGCGUAAAGAGCACGUAGGUGGGUUUGUAAGUCAGAUGUGAAAGCCUUCUGUUCAACGGAAGAAUUGCAUCUGAAACUGCGAGUCUUGAGUGUAGGAGGGGAGAAUGGAACUUCUGGUGGAGCGGUGAAAUGCGUAGAUAUCAGAAGGAACGCCGGCGGCGAAAGCGAUUCUCUGGCCUAUUACUGACACUCAGUGUGCGAAGGCUAGGGGAGCAAACGGGAUUAGAUACCCCGGUAGUCCUAGCUGUAAACGAUGGGCACUAAGUAGAGGGGUUUUA
This 479-nucleotide ribosomal RNA is filed under the name uncultured anaerobic ammonium-oxidizing bacterium. RNAcentral describes it as "bacterial SSU rRNA". It matches the Rfam family "Bacterial small subunit ribosomal RNA", at positions 364 to 833 of the family's 1533-position model. The record is from RNAcentral.